RNAcentral lists this ribosomal RNA (509 nucleotides) under Ancillina cf. sumatrana BOLD:AAO8476. Its description in RNAcentral is "partial 16S ribosomal RNA". It matches the Rfam family "Bacterial large subunit ribosomal RNA", at positions 1816 to 2597 of the family's 2925-position model. Lineage: Eukaryota; Metazoa; Mollusca; Gastropoda; Neogastropoda; Olividae. RNAcentral also lists the same sequence under 1 other name. The record is from RNAcentral.
CGCUCUCCGCCUAUCAAAAAUGGGGAGUCGGACCUGCCCGGUGAAAUUUUUUAACGGCCGCGGUACUCUGACCGUGCAAAGGUAGCAUAAUCAUUUGCCUUAUAAUUGAAGGCUAGUAUGAAUGGUUUGACGAGAAUAUUCCUGUCUCUUCAUGAUUUUUAAGAAAUUUAUCUUUAGGUGAAGAAGCCUGAAUAAUAUUAAAAGACAAGAAGACCCUAUCGAGCUUAAAAUAAAUUAGUAGAUUUACCUUAUAUAUUAAUAAAAAAUUAGCUGCUAAACAUUUUGGUUGGGGCGACUGAGGAACAGAAAAAGCUUCCUGUUAUUUGAAAAAUAUACAAAUACUGAUCCAGAAUUUUGCUGAUUAACGAAAUUAGUUACCGUAGGGAUAACAGCAUUAUCUUUUUUGAGAGCUCUAAUCGAAAAAAAGGUUUGUGACCUCGAUGUUGGACCAGAAUAUCCCGAAGAUGCAGCAGUCUUCAAAGGUUGGUCUGUUCGACCAUUAAAAUUCU